UGGUAUGAUUAUCUCACGCAUUGCAAACA
This 29-nucleotide non-coding RNA is filed under the name Rattus norvegicus (Norway rat). The record is from RNAcentral. Lineage: Eukaryota; Metazoa; Chordata; Mammalia; Rodentia; Muridae.